RNAcentral lists this ribosomal RNA (497 nucleotides) under uncultured bacterium. RNAcentral's name for it is "partial 16S ribosomal RNA". It matches the Rfam family "Bacterial small subunit ribosomal RNA", at positions 28 to 507 of the family's 1533-position model. The record is from RNAcentral.
GAUGAACGCUGGCGGCGUGCCUAAUACAUGCAAGUCGAGCGAACAGAUAAGGAGCUUGCUCCUUUGACGUUAGCGGCGGACGGGUGAGUAACACGUGGGUAACCUACCUAUAAGACUGGGAUAACUUCGGGAAACCGGAGCUAAUACCGGAUAACAUUUGGAACCGCAUGGUUCUAAAGUGAAAGAUGGUUUUGCUAUCACUUAUAGAUGGACCCGCGCCGUAUUAGCUAGUUGGUAAGGUAACGGCUUACCAAGGCAACGAUACGUAGCCGACCUGAGAGGGUGAUCGGCCACACUGGAACUGAGACACGGUCCAGACUCCUACGGGAGGCAGCAGUAGGGAAUCUUCCGCAAUGGGCGAAAGCCUGACGGAGCAACGCCGCGUGAGUGAUGAAGGGUUUCGGCUCGUAAAACUCUGUUAUUAGGGAAGAACAAACGUGUAAGUAACUGUGCACGUCUUGAUGGUACCUAAUCAGAAAGCCACGGCUAACUACGUG